ACCCGCUGAACUUAAGCAUAUCAAUAAGCGGAGGAAAAGAAACCAACAGGGAUUGCCUCAGUAACGGCGAGUGAAGCGGCAACAGCUCAAAUUUGAAAUCUGGCCUUUACGGUCCGAGUUGUAAUUUGUAGAGGAUGUUUUGGGUACCGCCGUGGUUUAAAUUUCUUGGAACAGAAUGUCAGAGAGGGUGAGAGUCCCGUCUUGGAUCGCGGUAGGGCCUGUGUAAAACUCCUUCGGCGAGUCGACUUGUUUGGGAAUGCAGGUCAAAAUGGGUGGUAAAUUUCAUCUAAAGCUAAAUAUUGGCCAGAGACCGAUAGCGCACAAGUAGAGUGAUCGAAAGAUGAAAAGCACUUUGAAAAGAGAGUUAAACAGUAUGUGAAAUUGUUGAAAGGGAAGCGCUGGCAACCAGACUCGUGCGCGGGGUUCCCCCUUGCUUCUGCUUGGGUCAUUUCCCCGUGUCCGGGCCAUCAUCAGUUUCGGGGGCCGGUCAAAGGCCUUGGGAAUGUAUCUACUCCUCCGGGGGUAGACUUAUAGCCCAGGGUGUCAUGCGGCCACUCGGGACUGAGGAACGCGCUUCGGCGAGGAUGAUGGCGUAAUGGUUGU
This 603-nucleotide ribosomal RNA is filed under the name uncultured fungus. Its description in RNAcentral is "eukaryotic LSU rRNA". It matches the Rfam family "Eukaryotic large subunit ribosomal RNA", at positions 23 to 641 of the family's 3401-position model. Lineage: Eukaryota; Fungi. The record is from RNAcentral.